Odocoileus virginianus texanus is the source of this 348-nucleotide long non-coding RNA. RefSeq lists it as uncharacterized. NCBI's taxonomy places the organism in Eukaryota, Metazoa, Chordata, Mammalia, Artiodactyla, Cervidae. The record is from RefSeq and is a predicted model, not a curated record.
CACAGUAUUUAUCCCGCGGCGUCUCGCUCCCCUCCGCCUUCUCUUCCCGGUUCUUCCCGGAGUCGGGAAAAGCUGGGUUGAGAGGGCGAAAAAAGAAGAGGGGAAGGGUCUAGGGGAAGGAGUGGAGAUCCUUCAAAGAUGGAAAACAGUGUGUGACUUCUUGGGAUUUCCUUGUUCACUCAUAAUUCCCUGGAGAUGAUCCAAGCUGUUGCAUGUAUCAUGCAUGUAUAUAACUACUUCAUUCCUUUAUAUUGCUGAAUUUCCAUGGUUUGUCUAUCUCCAUCCUUCGAAGAACAUCUGGGUUGUUUUCAGUUAGGGGCCAUCAUGAAUAAAGCUGCUAUGCACAUA